GGCAGUUGAACGUUUGUCCUGGGACUGUCUGAGCUUCUCCCUGUACAGAUAGAUACUAACACACAUACGCAGAAAACAUAUCAGAACUUCAAGGCCGUCUAGCCCUAGCUAGAAUUUUAUCAGUAUGGUUUGUUACACACACACUAUGAAGUCAUCAUCUUAGAGAGUAGAAGUACAGCAUAAAGCAGGAUUCUUUAAUAUCUCAUAAGCGCACAUAAGGUUACACAUUUUACUCUUGCCAUAACUUGAUUAAUAGUCAAACAAGAAAUAAUGUAAUAAUAUAAUUAAUAUCAAUAUGAAGGAUAUAGCAACUCGGCAUCCACUCCUUCAGUCCCCCGUUUUAGACCAAUGUGGGGUCCAAUACCCCACGUCUGGUCUACCAAAUAUUGUCAGGUGGAGUCGUGAUGCAUGCUAAUAAUGCAGGCUGUUGCCCAGCUUAAACUUUUCAGAAAUGACAUGUACUUUUUAUUUGUAUUUUUACUUUAUUUUUGCAACGGAAAUGUUUCUCAAAGUUCUUUGCAGUCCUUGUCAUUACUUUUAAAUCAACUUGUAUGUAUUCAUUCACUUAAUUCUGGCCAUGGCUUUGGAAUUUCAACAAUGGUUUUAAAUCUGUCAGGGGUUAUCUGACCCAGAUAUGUUACUUCGGGUCAUGCUAGCUGUGCUUUCUUUAAAUUAACUUUGAAACCCCCAUUUAUGUUACUUGUUUACAACAUUAUCAUCUCAUAUGCAAACAAUAAUUUUUGACUGGAAAUUGGCAAUUUUCCACUCAGAACAUGUCUCUGUUACUUUUACAGCUUAAACCAGAGUCAUGGUGGGGCUAGCAUGAGAUAAAAACAACUGCUUCAUUGCAGUCAAAGCAAUCUUAUCUUUUAAAGCAAAGCAUAAGCUUCUACGUUUUUCCAAAAUGCUACUGCCAAUUUGUGUGCCUACAGUCUUUUUACCAAUCCAGAAUUCUGUUCAAUAUGCCUUGUCAGGACUUUCAACAAUUAUAUAGGAACUAGAACAGAUCUUAUGAUAUCAUUCUUUGUCAUUUAAACCUUCUAUGCACAAAGAAUCAGAUUAAAUCAUCACUCAGUUACUUCUGGGAUUCUUUUUAACAAAUAGGCACAUACAUUUAGAAAUUUUUAUCUCUCUGGUUCUUUCUUUGUUUAAAGCCAAUUAAGUUUUUGUUUUAACUUUCCAAUCAGAAUCAAAGUUCAGACUGACCAUUCUUUCCAUUAACUCAGAGAAUAUUUUUAAAGUCAGAGCUUCAGAGCCGAGCUGUUUACAGCAUUUGUGCUCUUCUGUUUCAUUGUUUCUAUCAAGGCUGGGCAAGUUACAUAAUUUGUCAGUCAUAUUUCUAUCAUAAACCAAAAAGAGAUUGAGGCGGCGAUCUUACCAACAGCACUUGACUUCUGCGUGAUGAAACUGCAAAGUAUAUUCCAGAAUUUCCAUAUACUGGUCCAAUCCAAUUAGGGUCAUGAAAACAAAAUUUUAGCUCUUUCGGGGUUGUUCCUGAUGCAUCCCAGAUCAAUCAAUCCUUUCCCUUAACCUAUAUAUCUGUCUGUAUAUGUGCAUAUAGAUUAUCACUAUUUAUUUUUAACUCUAAUUUUUCGGUAUUCUGUUCCCUAACCACUGACCUGACCUAUUCACUAAAGCUCGGGGUACCCCUGUCUGUAAUGGUGGGUGGUCGAGAGUUGGAAGAGCGAUUUACGACUAGAACCCACGCCUAGC
This is a long non-coding RNA of Cyprinus carpio carpio, 1713 nucleotides long. The record is from Ensembl. Lineage: Eukaryota; Metazoa; Chordata; Actinopteri; Cypriniformes; Cyprinidae.